Molecule: ribosomal RNA, 798 nt
Filed under: Hydroschendyla submarina
Lineage: Eukaryota; Metazoa; Arthropoda; Chilopoda; Geophilomorpha; Schendylidae
Description: eukaryotic LSU rRNA
Rfam family: Eukaryotic large subunit ribosomal RNA (bases 266-798)
Source: RNAcentral
GGCGAAAUCAAAGUGAAGGUUCGCUCGUCGGUCGGCACGUUCAGGCCCCUCGCGGUCGGCUCGUCCACCUUCGACGCAAACCCAGGCGGGAUCCUUCGGUCGCGCAGCUUAGCGGCGAGCGGUUUCGGCCGCGUCUGGAGCCGCGGUUGUCGACCAACCGAGCACGUUCAACACGGUCAUCGGCGAACGUUCCCCUCUUACCACGGGCGCUCCGCGUUUCCCUCUUCCAACGUCUCCUCCUCCCUCCCUCUUCCCCGCCACUAUGCUGGCGCGGGCGAGAGUUCUCUGGGCUGGUUGGAGCGGAGGGUCAAACGGAUGUUUCGCUCUGGGGUAAACGCUUCGGGGGCACAAACGCGUUCGAUUUCCGACGGCUCGGGGGCGCACCGCCGGCCCGUCUCGUCCGCCCUCGGCGCAUCCCGACUUCCGUCUUCGGCGACUCCGGUCGCCUGCGGUCGUCGGCCCGAAAGUCGGUGAGGCGGAGCAAGAGCACACACGUUGGGACCCGAAAGAUGGUGAACUAUGCCCGGGCAGGACGAAGCCAGAGGAAACUCUGGUGGAGGUCCGUAGCGAUUCUGACGUGCAAAUCGAUCGUCGGACCUGGGUAUAGGGGCGAAAGACUAAUCGAACCAUCUAGUAGCUGGUUCCUUCCGAAGUUUCCCUCAGGAUAGCUGGUGCUCGUGAAAUUUCAGUCUCAUCCGGUAAAGCGAAUGAUUAGAGGCCUUGGGGCCGAAACGACCUCAACCUAUUCUCAAACUUUCAAUGGGUGAGAUGUCCGGCUUGCUUGAACCGCGCGAUUGC